GCCAGGCGAGGUGGUGCAUGCCAGGUCCCAGCCACUCCGGAGGCUGAGGUGAGAGCAUCACUCGAGCCCAGGGGUCCUGGGUGGUCAUGUGCUAAGCCACGGGGUGGGUGCUUAGCAUCAAUAAAGUGACCUACCAGCAGUUGUGGAACACCAGGUUGCCUAAAGAGGACAGACGUGGCUCAGGUCAAAACCCCUGUUCUGAUCAGUAGUGGGAUCGUGUCUGUGAGUAGACACUGCAUUCAAUCCAGCCUGGGCAACACAACAAGAUCCCAUCUCUA
RNAcentral lists this signal recognition particle RNA (278 nucleotides) under Otolemur garnettii (small-eared galago). Its description in RNAcentral is "Metazoan signal recognition particle RNA". It matches the Rfam family "Metazoan signal recognition particle RNA". Rfam says of the family: The signal recognition particle (SRP) is a universally conserved ribonucleoprotein. It is involved in the co-translational targeting of proteins to membranes. Lineage: Eukaryota; Metazoa; Chordata; Mammalia; Primates; Galagidae. The record is from Rfam by way of RNAcentral.